This 393-nucleotide ribosomal RNA is filed under the name uncultured bacterium. RNAcentral describes it as "partial 16S ribosomal RNA". It matches the Rfam family "Bacterial small subunit ribosomal RNA", at positions 523 to 918 of the family's 1533-position model. The record is from RNAcentral.
AUACGGAGGAUGCGAGCGUUAUCCGGAUUUAUUGGGUUUAAAGGGAGCGUAGGUGGGAUAUUAAGUAAGCUGUGAAAGUUUGGGGCUCAACCUUAACAUUGCAGUUGAUACUGGUUUCCUUGAGUACGGUACAGGUGCGCGGAAUUCGUGGUGUAGCGGUGAAAUGCUUAGAUAUCACGAAGAACUCCGAUCGCGAAGGCAGCUCACCGGGCCGGAACUGACACUGAUGCUCGAAAGUGCGGGUAUCAAACAGGAUUAGAUACCCUGGUAGUCCGCACAGUAAACGAUGAAUACUCGCUGUUUGCGAUACACGGUAAGCGGCCAAGCGAAAGCGUUAAGUAUUCCACCUGGGGAGUACGCCGGCAACGGUGAAACUCAAAUGAAUUGACGGGG